Molecule: ribosomal RNA, 318 nt
Filed under: uncultured bacterium
Lineage: Bacteria
Description: bacterial SSU rRNA
Rfam family: Bacterial small subunit ribosomal RNA
Source: RNAcentral
GCACCGGCUAACUCCGUGCCAGCAGCCGCGGUAAUACGGAGGGUGCGAGCGUUAAUCGGAAUUACUGGCGUAAAGCGCAUGCAGGUGGUUUGUUUAAGUUCAGAUGUGAAAGACCCGGGGCCGUCAACCUACCGGAAUAGCAUUUGUAAACUAGGCAGACUAGAGUACUGUAGAGGGGGGUAGGGAAUUUCUAGGUGUAGCGGUGAAAUAGCGUAGAGAUCUGAAGGAAUACCGGUGGCGAAGGCGGCCCCCUCGGACAGAUACUGACACUCAGAUGCGAAAGCGUGGGGAGCAAACAGGAUUAGAUACCCCUGGUAG